This 773-nucleotide ribosomal RNA is filed under the name Nocardia sp. RNAcentral describes it as "bacterial SSU rRNA". It matches the Rfam family "Bacterial small subunit ribosomal RNA", at positions 68 to 856 of the family's 1533-position model. The record is from RNAcentral. Lineage: Bacteria; Bacillati; Actinomycetota; Actinomycetes; Mycobacteriales; Nocardiaceae.
GGUAAGGCCCUUCGGGGUACACGAGCGGCGAACGGGUGAGUAACACGUGGGUGAUCUGCCUCGCACUCUGGGAUAAGCCUGGGAAACUGGGUCUAAUACCGGAUAGGACCUUCGGUCGCAUGGCCUUGGGUGGAAAGAUUUAUCGGUGUGAGAUGGGCCCGCGGCCUAUCAGCUUGUUGGUGGGGUAAUGGCCUACCAAGGCGACGACGGGUAGCCGGCCUGAGAGGGCGACCGGCCACACUGGGACUGAGACACGGCCCAGACUCCUACGGGAGGCAGCAGUGGGGAAUAUUGCACAAUGGGCGAAAGCCUGAUGCAGCGACGCCGCGUGAGGGAUGACGGCCUUCGGGUUGUAAACCUCUUUCGACAGGGACGAAGCGCAAGUGACGGUACCUGUAGAAGAAGCACCGGCCAACUACGUGCCAGCAGCCGCGGUAAUACGUAGGGUGCGAGCGUUGUCCGGAAUUACUGGGCGUAAAGAGCUUGUAGGCGGUUUGUCGCGUCGUCCGUGAAAACUUGGGGCUCAACCCCAAGCUUGCGGGCGAUACGGGCAGACUUGAGUACUUCAGGGGAGACUGGAAUUCCUGGUGUAGCGGUGAAAUGCGCAGAUAUCAGGAGGAACACCGGUGGCGAAGGCGGGUCUCUGGGAAGUAACUGACGCUGAGAAGCGAAAGCAUGGGUAGCGAACAGGAUUAGAUACCCUGGUAGUCCAUGCCGUAAACGGUGGGCGCUAGGUGUGGGUUUCCUUCCACGGGAUCCGUGCCGUAGCUAAC